RNAcentral lists this ribosomal RNA (248 nucleotides) under uncultured bacterium. RNAcentral describes it as "partial 16S ribosomal RNA". It matches the Rfam family "Bacterial small subunit ribosomal RNA", at positions 109 to 353 of the family's 1533-position model. The record is from RNAcentral.
AGUAACGCGUAUGCAACUUACCUAUCAGAGGGGGAGUAACCCGGCGAAAGUCGGACUAAUACCGCAUGAAGCAGGGGCCCCGCAUGGGGAUAUUUGCUAAAGAUUCAUCGCUGAUAGAUAGGCAUGCGUUCCAUUAGGCAGUUGGCGGGGUAACGGCCCACCAAACCGACGAUGGAUAGGGGUUCUGAGAGGAAGGUCCCCCACAUUGGUACUGAGACACGGACCAAACUCCUACGGGAGGCAGCAUG